GGCCCGAAACCUCAGCUUAUGUGUUCCUGAGAUGCUGCUUGGCCUGCUGUGUUCAUCCAGCUUAACACUUUGCCUAAAUGUUUGAAUUUUUUGAUAGAAUUGUAUAGUCUCCAGGACAAUCAGCAAUGGACCAGCAAAGCCCACAGCCCGUGGGCAAGUAAAACCGGAAAACGCGUUAUAUUUGCUGAACCCAUAGUCUCUGCCUAAAAGAAAAUGUGGACUUUGGACUUAAAGGGAACUAUAACACCGAGUGCGGGGAGGGGUCUGUCCGGACUUCUCAUGGAAUUCCCAUGGUUAGGAAGUUUCCACUCAGAGAAAGGAACACGUCUAUUUAAGGGAGAGGGGAAAAAGUUUGCUCGUGAAAACGUCUCAGACUUUGAAAAACAUUUUGAUCAGAGGUGCGGAGAUUUUGUGAACACAAGAGACAGGAGAACAGCUCGGCCCCAUUCAGAUGGCACAACACGAACCUAAACUACACUCUGAAACAGAAGAAUUCUGAGAUUUCAGUUUCAGAAAUACUGCCAUUGGAACAACUUAGAUCAUGAAACACUGGGUACAUCCAGACAAAUGUGGUGUCACACAUAAGAUGCAGCUGUGAAUUUAGGUAAUUUGUAUGUCAUUUAUGUAGAACAA
This is a long non-coding RNA of Stegostoma tigrinum, 633 nucleotides long. RefSeq lists it as uncharacterized. The record is from RefSeq and is a predicted model, not a curated record. NCBI's taxonomy places the organism in Eukaryota, Metazoa, Chordata, Chondrichthyes, Orectolobiformes, Stegostomatidae. The transcript has 3 exons.